AAUCAACGCUGGCGGCGUGCCUAACACAUGCAAGUCGAACGCGAAAACCCCGCAAGGGGUUAGUAGAGUGGCGAACGGGUGAGUAACACGUGGGUGACCUACCUUCGAAUGGGGGAUAAC
RNAcentral lists this ribosomal RNA (120 nucleotides) under uncultured bacterium. RNAcentral describes it as "partial 16S ribosomal RNA". It matches the Rfam family "Bacterial small subunit ribosomal RNA", at positions 32 to 147 of the family's 1533-position model. The record is from RNAcentral.